RNAcentral lists this non-coding RNA (30 nucleotides) under Homo sapiens (human). Lineage: Eukaryota; Metazoa; Chordata; Mammalia; Primates; Hominidae. The record is from RNAcentral.
UAUGGAUAUAUGUUGGUGACUUCCAGCCCC